Molecule: ribosomal RNA, 468 nt
Filed under: uncultured bacterium
Lineage: Bacteria
Description: partial 16S ribosomal RNA
Rfam family: Bacterial small subunit ribosomal RNA
Source: RNAcentral
GACGAACGCUGGCGGCGUGCUUAACACAUGCAAGUCGAACGGAAAGGCCCUGCUUUUGUGGGGUGCUCGAGUGGCGAACGGGUGAGUAACACGUGAGUAACCUGCCCUUGACUUUGGGAUAACUUCAGGAAACUGGGGCUAAUACCGGAUAGGAGCUCCUGCUGCAUGGUGGGGGUUGGAAAGUUUCGGCGGUUGGGGAUGGACUCGCGGCUUAUCAGCUUGUUGGUGGGGUAGUGGCUAACCAAGGCUUUGACGGGUAGCAGGCCUGAGAGGGUGACCGGCCCCAUUGGGACUGAGAUACGGCCCAGACUCCGACGGAAGGCAGCAGUGGGGAAUAUUGCACAGUGGGCGGAAGCCUAAUGCUGCAACUCCGCGUGCGGGAUGACGGCCUUCGGGUUGUAAACCGCUUUCGCCUGUGACGAAGAGUGAGUGACGGUAAUGGGUAAAGAAGCACCGGCUAACUACGUG